GAUGAAGAACGUAGCGAAAUGCGAUAAUUAAUGUGAAUUGCAGAAUUUAGUGAAUCAUCGAGUCUUUGAACGCACAUUGCGCCCCCUGGUAUUCCGGGGGGCAUGCCUGUCCGAGCGUCAUUGCUGCCCUCAAGCACGGCUUGUGUGUUGGGCCUCCGUCCUCCUCCCGGGGGACGGGCCCGAAAGGCAGCGGCGGCACCGCGUCCGGUCCUCGAGCGUAUGGGGCUUCGUCACCCGCUCUUGUAGGCCCGGUCGGCGCUUGCCGACACAUCAAUCUUUUUUCCAGGUUGACCUCGGAUCAGGUAGGGAUACCCGCUGAACUUAAGCAUAUCAAUAAGCGGAGGA
This 345-nucleotide unclassified non-coding RNA is filed under the name soil metagenome. RNAcentral describes it as "partial contains 5.8S ribosomal RNA, internal transcribed spacer 2, and large subunit ribosomal RNA". The stretch from base 1 to 120 matches the Rfam family "5.8S ribosomal RNA", at positions 35 to 154 of the family's 154-position model. The record is from RNAcentral.